GAUGAACGCUGGCGGCGUGCCUAACACAUGCAAGUCGAGCGAACCGACCAGGAGUUUGCUCCUUCGACGUUAGCGGCGGACGGGUGAGUAACUUGUAUGUAAACUACCUAUGAGACUGGGAUAAUUAUGGGAAAUGGGCGCUUCUAGCGGAUAAUAUUUCGCCCCGAAUGGUUCGCUAGUGAAAUUAGCCUUUUGUAUCACUUAUUGAUGCACCUGCGCCGUACUCGGUAGUUGGUAAGGUAACGGCUUACCAAGCCUUCGAUCCGUAACCGACCUGAGAGGGUGAUCGGCCACACUGGAAGUGAGGCACGGUCCAGACUCCGGCGGGAAGCAACAGUAGGGAAUCUUCCGCAAUGGGCGAGAGCCGGACGGAGCGACACGGCGUGAGUGAUGAAGGUGUUCGGAUCGGAGAACGCUGUUAGUAGUAGGAAACAAACGUGUAAGUAACUGUGCACAUCUUGACGGUACCUGGUCAAGAAGCCACGGCUAACUACGUG
This 497-nucleotide ribosomal RNA is filed under the name uncultured bacterium. RNAcentral describes it as "partial 16S ribosomal RNA". It matches the Rfam family "Bacterial small subunit ribosomal RNA", at positions 28 to 507 of the family's 1533-position model. The record is from RNAcentral.